This 253-nucleotide ribosomal RNA is filed under the name uncultured bacterium. Its description in RNAcentral is "partial 16S ribosomal RNA". It matches the Rfam family "Bacterial small subunit ribosomal RNA", at positions 524 to 776 of the family's 1533-position model. The record is from RNAcentral.
UACGGAGGGUGCAAGCGUUAUCCGGAUUUACUGGGUUUAAAGGGUGCGUAGGUGGGUUGGGAAGUCAGUGGUGAAAUACUUUCGCUUAACGAAGGAACUGCCAUUGAUACUCUCAAUCUUGAAUGCAGUGGAGGCGGGCGGAAUGUGUCAUGUAGCGGUGAAAUGCUUAGAUAUGACACAGAACACCCAUUGCGAAGGCAGCUCGCUACACUGCGAUUGACACUGAGGCACGAAAGCGUGGGGAUCAAACAGG